AUUGAACGCUGGCGGAAUGCUUUACACAUGCAAGUCGAACGGCAGCACGGACUUCGGUCUGGUGGCGAGUGGCGAACGGGUGAGUAAUGUAUCGGAACGUGCCCAGUCGUGGGGGAUAACGUAGUGAAAAUUACGCUAAUACCGCAUACGGUCUAUGGAUGAAAGCGGGGGAUCGCAAGACCUCGCGCGAUUGGAGCGGCCGAUAUCAGAUUAGGUAGUUGGUGGGGUAAAGGCCCACCAAGCCAACGAUCUGUAGCUGGUCUGAGAGGACGACCAGCCACACUGGAACUGAGACACGGUCCAGACUCCUACGGGAGGCAGCAGUGGGGAAUAUUGGACAAUGGGCGAAAGCCUGAUCCAGCCAUUCCGCGUGCAGGAUGAAGGCCCUCGGGUUGUAAACUGCUUUUGUACAGAACGAAAAGGUUUCUAUUAAUACUAGGAGCUCAUGACGGUACUGUAAGAAUAAGCACCGGCUAACUACGUGCCAGCCGCCGCGGUAA
RNAcentral lists this ribosomal RNA (500 nucleotides) under uncultured bacterium. RNAcentral's name for it is "partial 16S ribosomal RNA". It matches the Rfam family "Bacterial small subunit ribosomal RNA", at positions 30 to 523 of the family's 1533-position model. The record is from RNAcentral.